RNAcentral lists this ribosomal RNA (495 nucleotides) under uncultured bacterium. RNAcentral's name for it is "partial 16S ribosomal RNA". It matches the Rfam family "Bacterial small subunit ribosomal RNA", at positions 28 to 507 of the family's 1533-position model. The record is from RNAcentral.
GACGAACGCUGGCGGCGUGCCUAAUACAUGCAAGUAGAACGCUGAAGGAGGAGCUUGCUCUUCUGGAUGAGUUGCGAACGGGUGAGUAACGCGUAGGUAACCUGCCUGGUAGCGGGGGAUAACUAUUGGAAACGAUAGCUAAUACCGCAUAAAAUUGAUUAUUGCAUGAUAGUCAAUUAAAAGGUGCAAUUGCAUCACUACCAGAUGGACCUGCGUUGUAUUAGCUAGUUGGUGAGGUAACGGCUCACCAAGGCAACGAUACAUAGCCGACCUGAGAGGGGGAUCGGCCAAACUGGGAAUGAGACACGGCCCAGAAUCCUACGGGAGGCAGCAGUAGGGAAUCUUCGGAAAUGGACGGAAGUCUGACCGAGCAACGCCGCGUGAGUGAAGAAGGUUUUCGGAUCGUAAAGCUCUGUUGUAAGAGAAGAACGAGUGUGAGAGUGGAAAGUUCACACUGUGACGGUAUCUUACCAGAAAGGGACGGCUAACUACGUG